CGGACGGGUGAGUAAUGUCUGGGAAACUGCCUGAUGGAGGGGGAUAACUACUGGAAACGGUAGCUAAUACCGCAUAACGUCGCAAGACCAAAGAGGGGGACCUUCGGGCCUCUUGCCAUCGGAUGUGCCCAGAUGGGAUUAGCUAGUAGGUGGGGUAACGGCUCACCUAGGCGACGAUCCCUAGCUGGUCUGAGAAGAUGACCAGCCACACUGGAACUGAGACACGGUCCAG
Molecule: ribosomal RNA, 232 nt
Filed under: uncultured bacterium
Lineage: Bacteria
Also listed under: 1 other name
Description: partial 16S ribosomal RNA
Rfam family: Bacterial small subunit ribosomal RNA
Source: RNAcentral